Molecule: small nuclear RNA, 94 nt
Filed under: Erinaceus europaeus (western European hedgehog)
Lineage: Eukaryota; Metazoa; Chordata; Mammalia; Eulipotyphla; Erinaceidae
Source: RNAcentral
UUGAUUUUAGUAACACAGUUACUAAAGUUAGAACAAUAAAGAGAAGAUUAAUGUGGUCCCUGCACAAGUUCAUGAAGAGUGUAUAUACAUUUUU